CAGCAGCCGCGGUAAAACGGAGGGAGCUAGCGUUGUUCGGAAUUACUGGGCGUAAAGCGCGCGUAGGCGGUUACUCAAGUCAGAGGUGAAAGCCCGGGGCUCAACCCCGGAACUGCCUUUGAAACUAGGUGACUAGAAUCUUGGAGAGGUCAGUGGAAUUCCGAGUGUAGAGGUGAAAUUCGUAGAUAUUCGGAAGAACACCAGUGGCGAAGGCGACUGACUGGACAAGUAUUGACGCUGAGGUGCGAAAGCGUGGGGAGCAAACAGGAUUAGAUACCCGGGUAGUCCCUGUCUCUUAUAC
Molecule: ribosomal RNA, 301 nt
Filed under: uncultured bacterium
Lineage: Bacteria
Description: partial 16S ribosomal RNA
Rfam family: Bacterial small subunit ribosomal RNA
Source: RNAcentral